RNAcentral lists this ribosomal RNA (250 nucleotides) under uncultured bacterium. RNAcentral describes it as "partial 16S ribosomal RNA". It matches the Rfam family "Bacterial small subunit ribosomal RNA", at positions 524 to 776 of the family's 1533-position model. The record is from RNAcentral.
UACGUAGGGUGCAAGCGUUGUCCGGAAUUAUUGGGCGUAAAGAGCUUGUAGGCGGUUUGUCGCGUCUGCUGUGAAAUUUCGGGGCUCAACCCCGAACUUGCAGUGGGUACGGGCAGACUAGAGUGUGGUAGGGGAGACUGGAAUUCCUGGUGUAGCGGUGAAAUGCGCAGAUAUCAGGAGGAACACCGAUGGCGAAGGCAGGUCUCUGGGCCAUAACUGACGCUGAGAAGCGAAAGCAUGGGAGAACGGA